UACAGAGGGGGCAAGCGUUGUUCGGAAUUACUGGGCGUAAAGGGCGCGUAGGCGGCCUUCUAAGUCGAACGUGAAAUCCCCGGGCUCAACCCGGGAACUGCGUCCGAUACUGGAAGGCUUGAAUCCGGGAGAGGGAUGCGGAAUUCCAGGUGUAGCGGUGAAAUGCGUAGAUAUCGGGAGGAACACCAAUGGCGAAGGCAGCUCGCUGGGACGGUACUGACGCUGAGACACGAAAGCGUGGGGAGCAAACAGG
RNAcentral lists this ribosomal RNA (253 nucleotides) under uncultured bacterium. Its description in RNAcentral is "partial 16S ribosomal RNA". It matches the Rfam family "Bacterial small subunit ribosomal RNA", at positions 524 to 776 of the family's 1533-position model. The record is from RNAcentral.